RNAcentral lists this small RNA (115 nucleotides) under Staphylococcus aureus. RNAcentral describes it as "HMPRNC0000_0849". Lineage: Bacteria; Bacillati; Bacillota; Bacilli; Caryophanales; Staphylococcaceae. The record is from RNAcentral.
UCAUAAACGUUCAACUGGUAAAUCUAUUUAUAUCCUAGAUGAACCGACAACAGGGUUACAUGUUGACGAUAUUAGUAGAUUAUUAAAAGUAUUAAACCGAUUAGUUGAAAAUGGU